CCUACGGGUGGCAGCAGUGGGGAAUAUUGGACAAUGGGGGGAACCCUGAUCCAGCCAUGCCGCGUGUGUGAAGAAGGCCCUCGGGUUGUAAAGCACUUUCAGUGAGGAAGAACGCCUGGUGGUUAAUACCCAUCAGGAAAGACAUCACUCACAGAAGAAGCACCGGCUAACUCCGUGCCAGCAGCCGCGGUAAUACGGAGGGUGCGAGCGUUAAUCGGAAUUACUGGGCGUAAAGCGCGCGUAGGUGGCUUGAUAAGCCGGUUGUGAAAGCCCCGGGCUCAACCUGGGAACGGCAUCCGGAACUGUCAAGCUAGAGUGCAGGAGAGGAAGGUAGAAUUCCCGGUGUAGCGGUGAAAUGCGUAGAGAUCGGGAGGAAUACCAGUGGCGAAGGCGGCCUUCUGGACUGACACUGACACUGAGGUGCGAAAGCGUGGUAGCAAACAGGAUUAGAUACCCCUGUAGUC
RNAcentral lists this ribosomal RNA (464 nucleotides) under Vreelandella stevensii. Its description in RNAcentral is "partial 16S ribosomal RNA". It matches the Rfam family "Bacterial small subunit ribosomal RNA", at positions 338 to 795 of the family's 1533-position model. Lineage: Bacteria; Pseudomonadati; Pseudomonadota; Gammaproteobacteria; Oceanospirillales; Halomonadaceae. The record is from RNAcentral.